UUAAGAAAUUGAAAAAGCUAGAGUUUUAAUAUAAGCCCUAAUUUCCAAAUCAAAACUUCUGAAACAUGGUCUCAUGUGUUACUGAAUCUCUCAGAACGUAUAAGCUAUAUCCAUUCUUUUUUUCACCUGUCACUCAUUCAAUAACAUUUACUUUCACCUGAAAAAACCCCCACAGAUUUGAAGGGAAAGUGCAAGGUAUGUAUUGGUGGAUGUGAAAUAUGGUUUGAUGAAAACAAAAUGUGAAGUCAAGCCUCUGAGAGCUAGUGUACACCACUUCAUGAAAUCCCUUCUCCUUUCUUCCUUUGAUAUGAAGAGGUUUUAGGUAUUUAUUUAUGCACAAUUGUACUCAAUUCUUUUCUGCACUUUACCUUUCAUUUAGCCUAAACCCGGGCACACAUUGUUCUGAUUUCAAUACCAUAGGACAUCUGGCCUCAUCCUUUAGCGCACUGUAAGAUAAAUAUAAUUCAAGCCUCCAUUUCUCCAUCAUGCCCUUCUUUAUCAUCCCAUAAGAAUACAGAACUUACAGUCUGCAAUACUCAUCUCAUAUGCAAAGGUGAACUGUAACGCUGGAAGACAUUCAAAAUCCUCUCACCGCUAGGGUAAUUGUCUGAUGGGGUGAGCCUCAGCUGGGAGUAGUGGCUGUGCUGGUGGAUAUAUUUUGGUAUGAGUGGAAAAUUGGAAUAAGUCAAGAAAGAUCUGAGUAAACAAAGACUUCAUGACUGACCAAGGAAUUGAGCCCACAGACCUCUAGCAGUUUAAUUUUUUUCCCUCUGCCUCAUGUGCACCCUAAGUUCCUUGGCCUGGUGAGUUUUUAGUGUGAACUUUCUGUCCUUUCACUUAUAUUGCUUUGGUUAGCUGAAGGGAGGAGAGCAUAGCUAAUAUUCGGGUCUACCAGAUGCAGGGAAGAGGGACUCUCAAACUUUUAAGUGGCAGAAGCAGAAAGAAACAAAACUAGAGUGAAAAAAUUGGUGUCACAAGGAAGACUGAGGAAUUUUCUGAUACAUGUCUUACACAAAUGACCAUUAGUGACUUCUAAGUAUUUCAAAGGAACAGUAUCAGAAAAUGAUGGGUUUCUUGCUACACAGACUUACAGCAAUUCCUUUGUUAUCGCUGGGUAUCUGGCUGUUGCCAUGAGCAUAACACAGAAAAAUGCAAUUCUUUGUAAUAGGAUUAGAUUUUAAAAAAAAAGCAGCAGUGUCUCUGGUGAAAGCAUCACCUACAGCUAGCCUCAGCAGUGCUGACUCUGUGUUAGCUUUUACAAGCAGGUCACGGCACAGGCAGGUGCUGACAAGCUUUUCUUCUCUGUUAAAUGCAGCUGAGAGGCUCAAAGCAAUGGCUUCCCCAGGGACCAGGCCUCCCGUCCAACCUGACAGAGAUGGAGAAGCAGGAGAUCACUUCUUGUUUUAUUCUUGCUAGGCCUGCAAAGAUUUUCUUUUAAUAUACAAAACAGCCAUCAGACUGAAUGCAAGGUGGUGGCAGGGUGGAAAUGCAGUGGGUCCGGAAGGGGCUGGCCUGGUGGGUUGUGGAGGUACCUGGCAAGGGAAAUAGCUGCAUGGUCUUUUUUCUGGAGGAGAGGGAAAUGAUGCCAGUGGAAGGAGCUGAAAAAAAUCACUUGCAAGUGGGUCAUUUUCAAUUGCUGUAAAUGAAAAAGUCACACUGAGGCAGAAUAUUACAUUCAGUCGCCUGCCACUGAGAAUGGCAGUCAACCACUUGUAGAAAGAUUAGCAAAGGAAGCAACUGGGAGAAGCUGAAAAAAGGGCUCUGGGUCAUAAAAUGCGGCAAGAAUGGGUCCCAUUAUGAGGAAUUACAGACAUUUUUCUCAUUCCAAGAACUCUAACAAGACACUAAGAAUUUGGCUUCUUCUCCCAGAUCUGUUUUAACUUUCUGUCAUGGAGUUGAUCAGUACUAAAAAUAACUGGGAAACCUUUAGCACUUGCUCCCAAAAAUCUGUGCAGGGAGCUAUAUGCCAGCCAGCUAGGGCAGAAUAGGAUGAAGCUGUUCAUAUGGAGAAAUAUAAUGAAGACAGAUAUUGGUGGAGAACUAGGAGUGAGGAGGAGUCCCUUCUCUAUCCUACUUCCAGAGUAAAAAAACCACAAUGAGGUAGGCUGUGAUGAUUAUACUUUCUUUGUGAUGAGGGAAAUGACAAGUUGUUAUAAGUUACCUCAUUGAGUAAAGCUGCCUACAUGGGGGGAAAAAGGUCAGUUAAAGGUAAUGCCUGAGGAGCUGUUACAGAUUAGACUGAAUUUGCACUCUGUGAUAAGAGCUCACCUGUGCCUUCAGGCAUGCCCCCAAGUAAAGGGCAUGAGCAGUACACUGCUCUACAGGAACACGCUGGAAGCCUUGGUGCCUCAGUUUCUCUCUUGAGGGAAGUAAUUUGCUUUUCACCUGUUCUGGAUGGUGAAGUGGAUAGAAAUGAGUAAUUCUGUAGUUUCUUCAGCCAGAUUUCUGCAGUUUCUCUGCAGAAGCAGUGAUUUUGAUAGUAUUCUUCUAAACAACCAUGCUGGUUAUCGCAGCUGUUCAAAUCCAAGCACAAUAAUUUCCUGCUCUCCGUACAAACUCAAACUAUUAAUCUUUUCUUCUUUCUCAAACCUCACAGUACCUGUAAAUAACUAGCCAAAAACAGAGAUAUGGGUUUUGACCACUGAUUGCUUUUAUUGGCAAAAGAAACAGAAAUAUUCCCCCUUAUUGUACAGCAAUAUCGAGCAUUCAAGGGAUCUGCAACCACUAUAUGGCAUCAAUCUGCCACGUAGCUUUUGACGGACAUCUUUCUGUACCUUUAUAAAUCACCCGUCUACUACUUUUGAUGUAAAGAUCCCAUCUAAGAAAAUGGGCAUUGUUGAUGUGCUCAGUAACAGCACCGGUCUCACUGGAACCAUGGGGGAGUCCGACCCGGCAGGCCCUAGAGUGAGCUGUAGGUUGGGGUUGAGAUCAUCUGAGCAGUGAUUAUGUUUUAUCCUUGCAAACAGGCUGACCUGCCAUCCAGUGAAAUGAAGGGUUAGAAGCAACGGUAGGGAAUUACGUGGGCUGCAAAUCGGCAUAUUUGAAAAAUAACAUCCUUCACUUCAAACAGAGUUACUGUGAACUCACUUGAUUUCUUUGAAAUGCACCUAUUGAAAUAAUUAUCAUAAAUAGUAAUGAAAGGGCCAGAAAAAAAUAUGUAGUUUUGCCUCUGGCUAAGAUAAAAUUGUAUAUACUAAAAACAUAGCAUGAGAGCUUGUUACUUCGGAGCCUUUUUCUGUUUUACGUAUUUUAAAUUCCCCAUUUCUGUAGCACCGGUGCACCUCCCAGUUUACCAGGGCACUGCCUUUACAACUGCCUUACAAGGUAGGGAAUCCAUUUUCUGUAUGAGACAUGAGGUGUAGGUGGGUUAAAUGAUUUCCAUGAGGUCAUUGAGGAGGCCAGCGCACCCCAGUUCCUUGCUUGGAGAGCCAUGUCCCAGGGAGCCUGCUCAGGGCAGGCAGCGGGAGCCCAAUUGCUUCACUACUAUUUGGAGCCUCACUACAAAUGGGUGUAUGAAAAUAUCCCCCUCACAUGUGCCUUUAGGGAAACAAGAUGUGCCCAUGACACGAGAACAAUGAGCACACCUCAAAAUAAAGCACCCCAAAAGAGAAACCUGCUGUCCCCACACCUAAAGCCAUCCUGGCGUCCUAGGGGCCGAAUCAUGGAUUUCGGUUCCUAUAAACAGCCCGCCAAGUCUAGGUAGGUAAAACUCCCCUUUGCUUCUGCUGGGCUUAUAAAGGCAGGGCUGAGUCAGCAGUCAUUCUGAUGCUGGGUUAUUUCCUUACCAAACUCUGAAUCCCACAGGCCAGGUCACACAGCCAGCUGUCACUGUACCACAACAAAAGCAUUUUCCCAUGCAAACUGAAGAUGAGAGUAGUGCCAUUUCCCCUGCAAGCUCUCCAGUGCUGCAAGGGAGGCCUGUGUUUACAGGAAGCUGCAGCCUGACUGGUGACCUUACACGUCGCUCUUUCCCCAGCUCUGCCUAUGAGUGCAGAAGAGCCACAGUGUCAUCUUUGGCCGAGUCACCCUGGGGAGUUAGCUCAGCUGUGACACGGAGCAUAUUAGCCAAAUGCUGCACAAAUCUGACAGCGCUGCUUCCAGGGAUGGUCUGAAGCUGGCAGCAGACUGCUGCUCUUGGGCAGUAAAGCUGGACAGGGUUUGAUGCAGCUCAUAGCUGACAUGCCCUGCAGGAGCACAUCAGAGGUGCACUUUGCACUCUGCUGUACAGCUCCUGCGCAACACCACUGCCCAACCACGGGCGCCGGGAUGCACCGGGCACCACAGCUAUCUGCGCUGCAGCCUCCGGCUCUUCCCACCAGCCAGGCAGGCCCAGCGUCCAUCCCACCUCACCGCACUGGGACUCUGCUCGCACAGCUCUCAGACGGAAUUUGGAAAAAGAAUAAUCCUUCCUAUAAUGACUAUAAGUGUAGAAAAAUUAUUAAUAGCCACAGGGAAAGAUGGGGAAGCUGCUGAGGAACAAUUUGAAUUGAGGGUAGGGUUGGGUUUUCUUUAACUGAGACAAACUAAGAUAUGGGAAAAGUGCCAGAGGAGAAUGAAGGGCUGAAGGGAGGCAAGACACUGAGCGAUCAGGAGCAGAACUGAGAUCACUGCCUAAGUGCAGCAUGAAAGAGACCAGAAGAGACAUUUUCGACUGAUGGACAAGGAUGAAGCAGCUAUGGAAAGAAGGUCAAACAAGGAGCGAGAAUAAGGGUGGAAGAUGAGACGUUCAGAGCAAUUAAGGACAGACCAGGAGAAUCCAGCUAUCUCUGGCCCUGGAGGGCAGAAGGGAACAAGAGUGGACAGCUAUGCCUAAGGGAAAGGCCUGCCAGUCUGCUUGGACCUCUGAAGGAGUAACUCCAGCAUGCACGGGACAGGCAGCAGCUGAGAUUGCUCUCCUGCUCCACAGACCCAGGGUGUCUAUCGGAAGACAAAUUUUCCCAGCAUUUGACCCAUGUUGCUGCUGUUAUCUACUACUAAUCUAGAGAAGGAAACCUUUCUUGUGCCUUGUGACUCACAUCAGGAUAGUGAAGAAUAAAAGCUGCCUCCAGCUCCCUCUGAAGGAGAGAUAGGAUCGUAAGAGGAUGGGAAAAAUUCAGUGAAGUUUAGGGGAAACCAUGCUGGCGCGCAAGUGAGGAGCCAGUACUGUGGUUGCCACACCAGCCUGAAGACUGCUUCUUAGCAGAUACUUAUUCUGUCAUAAACUUUCACUGAAAUUUUUAUUUGGAGAUUAACCUUGCCAUGCUCUGGUUUUCCCUCUGUUGCUUUAGAAUGACCGUAUUUCAUAUGGGUCUCGUGUGCGCUGAAACAAACUGCAUGCUGGGAUACCCAGUGAUGGAUAUUUCCCAAGGUUCCAAUUUUUCACUGUUCACAUAUUAGGAUCUCAGCUGAGCUAGAUUUCCAGCUGAAUACCAGGAAAAGAUAGUUUUAUAUAAAGGAAGCAGAACUUGUAGGCUUUCAUUCUUUCUCUUCCCUCCUUCCUGAAGAAAAAGGCUUCUUCAACUCCAGAUAUCUACAAGUUAAUAUAAAUACUGACUUUAUGUAAGCACUCACUUGGGUUACAAAAUAUUGGAAUAGUUUGUUGUUCUCUUUUAAACAACUGGCGGUGUGCCUUGUAGGGCAGACCUCUUCUGCUGUAAUUCUCAGUACAGCUUUGCCGAAAGCAUGAGAGAUGGAUUUAGCCUCGAAUUCUCAAGUCCAGCUGUUGGGAUUUUCUAUCUUAAA
This is a non-coding RNA of Struthio camelus australis, 5721 nucleotides long. Lineage: Eukaryota; Metazoa; Chordata; Aves; Struthioniformes; Struthionidae. The record is from RefSeq and is a predicted model, not a curated record.